Non-coding RNA from Pelobates cultripes (western spadefoot toad), 223 nucleotides. Lineage: Eukaryota; Metazoa; Chordata; Amphibia; Anura; Pelobatidae. The record is from the annotation of a GenBank genome assembly.
CGGCUAACUGCUCGCAUCACUGGGAAGAGCCCACGUGGGUUUGAUGGACAUGUAGUGUUACAUCCACCAAUGUGCUGAUUGCAUAUCUGUAUAAGGGAUAGCACCUACUCCCAGUUAUUCCACGACGCUUACAUUCAUUGAUUAAAUUACCCCCAAUAAACUCAUAAUAUAUUUAUAAAGUAAAUCUGAGCAUGGGGCAAAUAUGUUACAUUAUGGCAUGAAC